CCUACGGGAGGCAGCAGUAGGGAAUAUUGGGCAAUGGAGGCAACUCUGACCCAGCCAUGCCGCGUGCAGGAAGAAGGCGUUAUGCGUUGUAAACUGCUUUUAUAUAGGAAGAAAUAGUCCUUGCGAGGAAAGUUGACGGUACUAUAUGAAUAAGCACCGGCUAACUCCGUGCCAGCAGCCGCGGUAAUACGGAGGGUGCAAGCGUUGUCCGGAUUUAUUGGGUUUAAAGGGUGCGUAGGCGGUUUAUUAAGUCAGUGGUGAAAGACGGUCGCUCAACGAUUGCAGUGCCAUUGAUACUGGUAGACUUGAGUGGGAUUGAGGUAGCCGGAAUGGAUAGUGUAGCGGUGAAAUGCAUAGAUAUUAUCCAGAACACCAAUUGCGUAGGCAAGUUACUAAGUCUCAACUGACGCUGAGGCACGAAAGUGUGGGUAUCAAACAGGAUUAGAUACCCUGGUAGUCCACACUGUAAACGAUGAUAACUAACUGUUGGCUUUCGGGUCAGUGGUACAGAGAAAUCGUUAAGUUAUCCACCUGGGGAGUCGCCGGCAACGGUGAACUUAAAUGAAAUUGACGGCGUGAGAGNGCGAGACGACGACGAGGGAGGAGG
RNAcentral lists this ribosomal RNA (607 nucleotides) under uncultured bacterium. Its description in RNAcentral is "bacterial SSU rRNA". It matches the Rfam family "Bacterial small subunit ribosomal RNA", at positions 338 to 944 of the family's 1533-position model. The record is from RNAcentral.